AGGUCAUAGUGAUCCGGUGGUUCUGAAUGGAAGGGCCAUCGCUCAACGGAUAAAAGGUACUCCGGGGAUAACAGGCUGAUACCGCCCAAGAGUUCAUAUCGACGGCGGUGUUUGGCACCUCGAUGUCGGCUCAUCACAUCCUGGGGCUGAAGUAGGUCCCAAGGGUAUGGCUGUUCGCCAUUUAAAGUGGUACGCGAGCUGGGUUUAGAACGUCGUGAGACAGUUCGGUCCCUAUCUGCCGUGGGCGCUGGAGAACUGAGGGGGGCUGCUCCUAGUACGAGAGGACCGGAGUGGACGCAUCACUGGUGUUCGGGUUGUCAUGCCAAUGGCACUGCCCGGUAGCUAAAUGCGGAAGAGAUAAGUGCUGAAAGCAUCUAAGCACGAAACUUGCCCCGAGAUGAGUUCUCCCUGAGACUUAGAGUCUCCUGAAGGAACGUUGAAGACGACGACGUUGAUAGGCCGGGUGUGUAAGCGCAGCGAUGCGUUGAGCUAACCGGUACUAAUGAACCGUGAGGCUUAACCUUAC
This 526-nucleotide ribosomal RNA is filed under the name Salmonella enterica. Its description in RNAcentral is "partial 23S ribosomal RNA". It matches the Rfam family "Bacterial large subunit ribosomal RNA", at positions 2407 to 2925 of the family's 2925-position model. Lineage: Bacteria; Pseudomonadati; Pseudomonadota; Gammaproteobacteria; Enterobacterales; Enterobacteriaceae. The record is from RNAcentral.